Molecule: ribosomal RNA, 292 nt
Filed under: uncultured bacterium
Lineage: Bacteria
Description: partial 16S ribosomal RNA
Source: RNAcentral
GGACUACCGGGGUUUCUAAUCCCGUUCGCUCCCCUGGCUUUCGCACCUGAGCGUCAGAAACUUCCCAGGACACUGCCUACGCCUUUGGUGUUCCUCCGGAUAUCUACGCAUUUCACCACUCCACCCGGAAUUCCGUGUCCCUCUGAAGCCCUCAAGUCCGUUAGUUUCCCGAACACUUCACCAGUUAAGCCGGUGACUGUCACCCGAGACUUAGCGGACCGCCUGCGUGCGCUUUACGCCCAGUAACUCCGGACAACGCUCGCCUCCUACGUAUUACCGCGGCUGCUGGCAC